GAUGAACGCUGGCGGCGUGCCUAAUACAUGCAAGUCGAGCGAACAGACGAGGAGCUUGCUCCUCUGACGUUAGCGGCGGACGGGUGAGUAACACGUGGAUAACCUACCUAUCAGACUGGGAUAACUUCGGGACACCGGCGCUAAUACCGGAUAACAUGUUGAACCGCAUGGUUCAACAGUGAAAGACGGUCUUUCUGUCACUUAUCGCUGGAUCCGCGCCGCAUUAGCUAGUUGUUACGGUAACGGCUUACCAAGGCAACGAUGCGUAGCCGACCUGAGAGAGUGAUCGGCGACACGGGAGCGGAGACGCGGACCAGACUCCUAAGGGACGCAGCAGUAGGGAAUCUGCGGCAAUGGGCGAAAGCAUUACAGAGCAAGGCCGCGUGAGUGAAGAAGGUGUUCGGAGCGUAAAAACCGGUUAUUAGGGAAGAACAAAUGUGUAAGGAACUAUGCACGGCUUGACGGUACCGAAUCAGAAAGCCACGGCUAACUACGUG
This 497-nucleotide ribosomal RNA is filed under the name uncultured bacterium. RNAcentral's name for it is "partial 16S ribosomal RNA". It matches the Rfam family "Bacterial small subunit ribosomal RNA", at positions 28 to 507 of the family's 1533-position model. The record is from RNAcentral.